CCUACGGGAGGCAGCAGUGAGGAAUAUUGGUCAAUGGGCGCGAGCCUGAACCAGCCAAGCCGCGUGAGGGAAGACGGUCCUAUGGAUCGUAAACCUCUUUUGUCGGGGAGCAAAAGAUGCCACGCGUGGCGUUAUGAGUGUACCCGAAGAAAAAGCAUCGGCUAACUCCGUGCCAGCAGCCGCGGUAAUACGGAGGAUGCGAGCGUUAUCCGGAUUUAUUGGGUUUAAAGGGUGCGCAGGCGGAAGAUCAAGUCAGCGGUAAAAUUGAGGGGCUCAACCCCUUCGAGCCGUUGAAACUGGUAUGCUCGAGUGAGCGAGAAGUAUGCGGAAUGCGUGGUGUAGCGGUGAAAUGCAUAGAUAUCACGCAGAACUCCGAUUGCGAAGGCAGCAUACCGGCGCUCAACUGACGCUCAGGCACGAAAGUGUGGGUAUCGAACAGGAUUAGAUACCCUAGUAGUC
This 459-nucleotide ribosomal RNA is filed under the name uncultured bacterium. RNAcentral's name for it is "partial 16S ribosomal RNA". It matches the Rfam family "Bacterial small subunit ribosomal RNA", at positions 338 to 795 of the family's 1533-position model. The record is from RNAcentral.